UGAUGCUUUUUUGCACAUCUCCAAUCCCAGAUCUGACAAGAGGCACCGGUACAGCAUGCUGCACUCUCAGGAGUCUGGCAGCUCUGUCUUCUACCACUCUCAGGAUGAGGGACCCGGACCAGAAGGUGGAGACUGUGCCAAGAACUCGGGGGCACCCUUCAUCCUAGGGCAGGCCAAAAAUGCCCAGCUAGUCAGCGGAGACUCCACCACCAAGCAAGAUCUGAACCUCUCUCAGCGACGGAGGGCAUACAGCACCAACCAGAUCACCAAUCACAAGCCCCUCCCAAGAGCCACCACGGCAAGUGACCCCAUGCCAGCUGCCAAGAGAUACCCACUGCGGAAAGCCAGGCUGCAGGACCUCACCAACCAGACCAGCCUGGAUGUCCAGCGGUGGCAGAUUGAUUUGCAGCCCUUGCUGAACAGUGGUCAGGACCUGAACCAGGGCCCCAAACUCCGUGGCCCAGGGGCCCGAAGGCCCUCUCUGCUGCCCCAAGGCUGCCAGCCCUUCCUGCCCUGGGGCCAGGAGACCCAGGCCUGGAGCCCUGUGAGAGAGCGGACUUCUGACAGCCGAAGCCCCGGAGAUCUGGAGCCGUCCCACCACCCCUCUGCCUUCGAAACAGAGACGUCCUCGGACUGGGAGCCCCCAGCCGAGUCCCAGGAGCGAACCAGUCCCAGCAGGCCCGCCACCCCGGGCCCGGUGCUGGGCAAGGCCCUGGUCAAAGGCCUGCACGACAGCCAACGCCUGCAGUGGGAGGUGAGCUUCGAACUGGGGCCCCCUGGACCGGAGAGGGGCGGCGCGCGGGAUGCCGACCUAUGGAGCGAGACCUUCCACCACCUGGCGGCCCGUGCCAUCAUCCGCGACUUCGAGCAGCUGGCGGAGCGCAAGGGCGAGAUCGAGCAGGGGUCCAACCGCCGCUACCAAGUGAGCGCCGUGCACACCAGCAAGGCCUGCAACAUCAUUAGCAAAUACACAGCCUUCGUGCCUGUGGACAUGAGCAAGAGCCGGUACCUGCCCACCAUGGUGGAGUACCCCAACUCUGGAGCUGCCCUGCGUAUGCUCAGCUCUCGGGCCCUGGCCCAGCAGUGGAGGGGCACCUCUUCUGGCUUUGGACGGCCGCAGACGAUGCUUGGAGAAGAUUCAGUACCAGGAAAUGGUCCCCGGCGCAGCCUGGCCACAAAUAUUCUUUCUUCCGUGAAGGCCCCAGAGAAUCUCUUUGGAUCCAGGCUAAAUCUCAACAAGUCCAGGCUACUGACACGAGCAGCCAAGGGCUUCCUGAGCAAGCCACUGAUCAAAGCUAUAGAGUCGACCUCCGGGAACCAGAGCUUCGACUACGUACCGCUGGUGUCUCUGCAGCUGGCCUCCGGAGCCUUCCUGCUCAACCAAGCCUUCUGUGAGGCCACGCACAUCCCCAUGGAGAAGCUCAAGUGGACGUCCCCCUUCAGCUGCCACCGAGUGUCGCUCACCACCCGCCCGUCUGAGUCCAAGACCCCGAGUCCCCAGCUGUGCACCAGCUCCCCGCCUAGGCACCCCUCCUGUGACAGCUUCUCCCUGGAGCCUCUGGCCAAGGGCAAGCUGAGCCUGGAGCCGAGGGCAGUGGUGGAGCACACUGGGAAGCUGUGGGCCACAGUGGUGGGGCUGGCAUGGCUGGAGCACAGUUCGGCCUCCUACUUUACUGAGUGGGAGUUGGUGGCCGCCAAGGCCAACUCAUGGCUGGAGCAGCAGGAAGUACCUGAGGGCCGCACGCAGGGCACACUCAAGGCCGCUGCCCGCCAGCUGUUUGUGCUUCUGCGGCACUGGGAUGAGAAUC
This 1808-nucleotide small RNA is filed under the name Pongo abelii (Sumatran orangutan). RNAcentral describes it as "processed transcript". The record is from RNAcentral. Lineage: Eukaryota; Metazoa; Chordata; Mammalia; Primates; Hominidae.